Long non-coding RNA from Eucalyptus grandis, 890 nucleotides. RefSeq lists it as uncharacterized. The transcript is spliced from 3 exons. The record is from RefSeq and is a predicted model, not a curated record. NCBI's taxonomy places the organism in Eukaryota, Viridiplantae, Streptophyta, Magnoliopsida, Myrtales, Myrtaceae.
UCCGAAGUUCUAUCCUUUGAGACAGAGAGAGAGAGAGAGAGAGAGAGAGAGAGGCAGACGCAGUGACAGAAAACCGGAUGAGAGAAGCCUCUAGUUUACAGAAGAGUUCACGGUUCCAGUGCACAAAACCAAGGGCCACACACCAAAAACCCCAAAGGCGCACACUCUUCAACAUCAUCGUCAACAGCAACGCCGCCAACAACAUCAUAAUUUCACCACCUCUUUUCCCUAUAAAUGCACCGGCCGUCCCAACUCCUCCAUACUCCCCCACUCGUUCCACCGUUUCCAGCUAUCCUUUUCCCACCCACCUUGCGGUAUUCUCGGCUUUGCUUUCCCAAGAAAGAAGAAGAAGUCAAAGAUGGAGGCCAUUCAGUCCUGGGUCUCUGAGCACAAGCUCGCCAGCAUUGGAGGACUAUGGGCGUCGGCAAUCGGAGCGUCGCUUGCUUAUUCACGCGCUAAGUCUCCCCUCAAGCCAAGCCUCCGCCUCAUUCAUGCUCGGAUGCAUGCACAGGCCCUGACGUUGGCGGUGCUCUCCGGUGCAGCGGCUUACCAUUACUACGAGCAACGGUCCAACGAGCCUCGACGCGAUUGAGCUCCACCUUUUUGCUAUCUAAAGAUGCUUCUCUCCAGGAAAAAGAGCAUCUGCUCCUGGCGCGUCGAAGAUGAAGAUCCUGCUCUUCGUUCGACAACAUCGCUAAUGAAUAAUUCGACAUGAUGCAAUGGCUUCUAGUUGAUUUCCUAUGUUCUACGAGACAUGAUUUCCUUAUGUACAUACGUCGUUACGAGUUGAACGAGGGAUGAGGACGUUCUUGUGCUUCCCCUCUUAUCACUGAGUCUACUGAAUCCUUUCCCUUCAUAGCGAAGUCUAUCUAUUUUUAUUUUUAUCAUAA